CUGGAAACUUCCAUACGUCCUCAAUCUUUUACAACAAUUGAUAAACAAUGAUCCAUAAAUAACUUUAUAAAUCAAACAUUAAUUCAUUAAAUCGAUUCUCUUCACUAGAGUCAACACUAACACAAAAGAAACAAGAAAACUAAGAAGAAGAGAUAGCACCAAGCUUAUCCCCAGCUCAGUACUAUCGCAGUUUGGCAUUUUCUUCCCCUCUCCCAUCCUCCUUAUACUACCCCGAGAUACCAACUCCUAUACUAUAGAUGAUAACUAAUUUUCUUGACUAUUCAUCUAUUCUACCUGCUAAACCACCUUUUCAGUACUUAUCUAUUCCUGUUUAUACUAUACACUAGGUAUCUACAUUCUAAAAAUAACUACUUAUUCUAUAUAGCCCCACUCCUAACUAUGCAGCAUCCUCGCAAACACUCAAUUGAUACCUAUCUAAAAAAAUUCUAACAAAAAUCUACAAAAAUUGCGAUCCCUCUGGCCUAUCUAAUUAAUUAAUUGCCACAGUAUCUGUUAUUGGUUCCACCGAUCCUGAUUCCAACUCCAAAUCUUCAUCUUCCUCCAAUCCUUCAAUCGGCUCUUGCCUCAACUGAGUUGAAAGGUCUUGAUUAUACUCACCCAAUUCAUGGACUUGAGCUUCCAAUUUCAGGUUCUCGGCAUCUCUCAAUUCCAACUGGCACUGAAAGUGACUCCUCUCUUUUAGAACUUCGGGAACUGGCAACGUCGAUACUUGUGCUUGACCAAUAUUGACUAAAUCUACUACCAAUCUUGUCACCUCGAC
This 781-nucleotide long non-coding RNA is filed under the name Physcomitrium patens. RNAcentral describes it as "long non-coding RNA (PPAT_LNC005132)". Lineage: Eukaryota; Viridiplantae; Streptophyta; Bryopsida; Funariales; Funariaceae. The record is from RNAcentral.